CGCACAUUGCGCCUAUUGGUAUUCCAAUAGGCAUGCCUGUUCGAGCGUCAUUUAAAUCUUCAAGCUUUGCUUGGUGUUGGGUGCUGUCCGUCGUUUCUUCUGCGGACUUACCUUGAAUAAAUUGGCAGCCAGCAUUUGGUAUGUUGGAGCGCAGCACAUUUUGCGUCCUUGACCAUAGUAGCAGGUGUCCAGAAAGCUCAUUCUAACGUUUGACCUCGGAUCAGGUAGGGAUACCCGCUGAACUUAA
This 247-nucleotide unclassified non-coding RNA is filed under the name Pleosporales sp. RNAcentral describes it as "partial contains 5.8S ribosomal RNA, internal transcribed spacer 2, and large subunit ribosomal RNA". Lineage: Eukaryota; Fungi; Ascomycota; Dothideomycetes; Pleosporales. The record is from RNAcentral.